AGCGAACGCUGGCGGCAGGCCUAACACAUGCAAGUCGAACGAACCUUUCGGGGUUAGUGGCGGACGGGUGAGUAACACGUGGGAACGUGCCUUUAGGUUCGGAAUAACUCAGGGAAACUUGUGCUAAUACCGAAUGUGCCCUUCGGGGGAAAGAUUAAUCGCCUUUAGAGCGGCCCGCGUCUGAUUAGCUAGUUGGUUGAGGUAAUGGCUCACCAAGGCGACGAUCAGUAGCUGGUCUGAGAGGAUGUUCAGCCACAUUGGGACUGAGACACGGCCCAAACUCCUACGGGAGGCAGCAGUGGGGAAUCUUGCGCAAUGGGCGAAAGCCUGACGCAGCCAUGCCGCGUGAAUGAUGAAGGUCUUAGGAUUGUAAAAUUCUUUCACCGGGGACGAUAAUGACGGUACCCGGAGAAGAAGCCCCGGCUAACUUCGUG
Molecule: ribosomal RNA, 434 nt
Filed under: uncultured bacterium
Lineage: Bacteria
Description: partial 16S ribosomal RNA
Rfam family: Bacterial small subunit ribosomal RNA
Source: RNAcentral